RNAcentral lists this ribosomal RNA (253 nucleotides) under uncultured bacterium. Its description in RNAcentral is "partial 16S ribosomal RNA". It matches the Rfam family "Bacterial small subunit ribosomal RNA", at positions 524 to 776 of the family's 1533-position model. The record is from RNAcentral.
UACGGGGGGGGCAAGCGUUGUUCGGAAUUACUGGGCGUAAAGGGCUCGUAGGUGGCCAACUAAGUCGGACGUGAAAUCCCUCAGCUUAACUGGGGAACUGCGUCCGAUACUGGAUGGCUUGAGUUUGGGAGAGGGAUGCGGAAUUCCAGGUGUAGCGGUGAAAUGCGUAGAUAUCUGGAGGAACACCGGUGGCGAAGGCGGCAUCCUGGACCAACACUGAUACUGAGGAGCGAAAGCCAGGGGAGCAAACGGG